UACGUAGGGUGCGAGCGUUGUCCGGAAUUAUUGGGCGUAAAGAGCUCGUAGGCGGCUUGUCGCGUCGGAUGUGAAAGCCCGGGGCUUAACUCCGGGUCUGCAUUCGAUACGGGCAGGCUAGAGUUCGGUAGGGGAGAUCGGAAUUCCUGGUGUAGCGGUUAAAUGCGCAGAUAUCAGGAGGAACACCGGUGGCGAAGGCGGAUCUCUGGGCCGAUACUGACGCUGAGGAGCGAAAGCGUGGGGAGCGAACAGG
This 253-nucleotide ribosomal RNA is filed under the name uncultured bacterium. RNAcentral's name for it is "partial 16S ribosomal RNA". It matches the Rfam family "Bacterial small subunit ribosomal RNA", at positions 524 to 776 of the family's 1533-position model. The record is from RNAcentral.